RNAcentral lists this long non-coding RNA (291 nucleotides) under Suricata suricatta (meerkat). Its description in RNAcentral is "lncRNA (ENSSSUG00005020228.1)". Lineage: Eukaryota; Metazoa; Chordata; Mammalia; Carnivora; Herpestidae. The record is from RNAcentral.
CUCGGCCACCUUCAGGCAUUAUUGUCGUCAGAGUGGAAAUAGGUUGCAGCGGAAGGGCCUUCGUAACCCUGUGGCCCGUCUCUGCAUCAGUUGAGAAACCUAGGCCUUUGAUAACAGCCACCAAAAUAUCCUUCACUUGCGUGCAUUGGGAGAUCAAGGAUUUGCAGCAUCUGGAAGAUCACAAGGUCAUCCGUCAGAGCCUUACGCAUCUCUCAGCUGCUGGGAUUAUUUUGCAGGUAAAUGGUUUAUCUGGGAUCCUAAACUCCAUGGGAUAAAAACCCGAAGCGGUGU